Molecule: ribosomal RNA, 739 nt
Filed under: uncultured Staphylococcus sp.
Lineage: Bacteria; Bacillati; Bacillota; Bacilli; Caryophanales; Staphylococcaceae
Description: bacterial SSU rRNA
Rfam family: Bacterial small subunit ribosomal RNA
Source: RNAcentral
AAGUCGAGCGAACGGACGAGAAGCUUGCUUCUCUGAUGUUAGCGGCGGACGGGUGAGUAACACGUGGAUAACCUACCUAUAAGACUGGGAUAACUUCGGGAAACCGGAGCUAAUACCGGAUAAUAUUUUGAACCGCAUGGUUCAAAAGUAAAAGACGGUCUUGCUGUCACUUAUGGAUGGAUCCGCGCUGCAUUAGCUAGUUGGUAAGGUAACGGCUUACCAAGGCAACGAUGCAUAGCCGACCUGAGAGGGUGAUCGGCCACACUGGAACUGAGACACGGUCCAGACUCCCACGGGAGGCAGCAGUAGGGAAUCUUCCGCAAUGGGCGAAAGCCUGACGGAGCAACGCCGCGUGAGUGAUGAAGGUCUUCGGAUCGUAAAACUCUGUUAUUAGGGAAGAACAUAUGUGUAAGUAACUGUGCACAUCUUGACGGUACCUAAUCAGAAAGCCACGGCUGACUACGUGCCAGCAGCCGCGGUAAUACGUAGGUGGCAAGCGUUAUCCGGAAUUAUUGGGCGUAAAGCGCGCGUAGGCGGUUUUUUAAGUCUGAUGUGAAAGCCCACGGCUCAACCGUGGAGGGUCAUUGGAAACUGGAAAACUUGAGUGCAGAAGAGGAAAGUGGAAUUCCAUGUGUAGCGGUGAAAUGCGCAGAGAUAUGGAGGAACACCAGUGGCGAAGGCGACUUUCUGGUCUGUAACUGACGCUGAUGUGCGAAAGCGUGGGGAUCAAACAGGAUUA